Long non-coding RNA from Zea mays, 397 nucleotides. RefSeq lists it as uncharacterized. The transcript has 2 exons. NCBI's taxonomy places the organism in Eukaryota, Viridiplantae, Streptophyta, Magnoliopsida, Poales, Poaceae. The record is from RefSeq and is marked validated.
CGCGGACGAAGCCAGCCGUAGUACUCCCUUCUCAGAUAUGCGCGCUCGUGGUGCAGGAGCGCUCCUGGCGCCCCGCCGCGACGGUGGCCGGGGCCCCCUCGCUGGCGUCCCGGUCGCGUCAACCACCUCAAUCUCGCUGGCGUCCGCCUCCGCGAUGUCAAGAGGUGGAUCUUGUUUCUGCAGUGAGUUGCUCAUCUGGAGACAAUCGAGCGUAGAUUGUUGAAGGCACAUCUCCAAUAUUCCUGCACAAAAAAACAAUGCGCAUCAACUAACAGAAGUGCAACACACUCUCAUCUGAGUGUUCACAUCUUUCUUUUUUUUUGGUUGAUUCGUUUAAACCUCACUAUGUACAUACAAGGCAGAAUCACAGUCCCUGCAUCGUUGGCUUGCCAAGUUU